This is a long non-coding RNA of Oncorhynchus mykiss (rainbow trout), 1707 nucleotides long. The record is from Ensembl. NCBI's taxonomy places the organism in Eukaryota, Metazoa, Chordata, Actinopteri, Salmoniformes, Salmonidae.
AUGAACACUUACCACGCUGCACCUUGGACUCCUUCCGACGACAAACGUUACAGAAGAUCCCACCACAAACAGACCAAGCAGCAUGGUCAGGAGAACUGGACAUGGGAGGACAGCCUGGAUGGCAAAGGAUCCUGGACUUGGGAGGAGAUCCUGGCCGGAAGGGAUCGCCUCCCAUGGGAACAAGGGGAAGCAGCGAGGGAGUCAUGGCAACGAAGCAAGCACGAGAGGCAGCCCCCCCAAAAAAAUUGGUUGGGGCACACGGGGAGAUUGGCGGAGUCAGGUUGUAGACCUGAGCCAACUCCCCGUUCUUACCAUGGGGAGAGAAUGACUGGUCAAGCACCGUGUUAUCCGGUUCUGCGCACUAUGCCUUCGGUGCGCAGCCACAGCCCGGUGCACUCUGUGCAAGCUCCUCUCAGUGGUCAUGCUAGAGUGGGCAUUCAGCCAGGACGGAUUGUGCCGGCUCAGCGUUCCUGGCCUCCGGUGCGUCUCUUCGGCCCAGGUUAUCUUGCGUCAGCUCUACGCACGGUGUCCCCGGUUCGCCAGCAAAGCCCAGUGCGGCCUGUUCCUGCUACCCGCACUUGCCGGACUAAGGGGGGUAUCCAGCCAGGACGAGUUAUGCCAGAUCUGCGCUCCAGACCUCCGGUGCGCCUCCACGGCCCAGGAUAUCCUGCGCCGGCUCUGUGCACUGUGUCUCCGGUGUGUCUGCACAGCCCGGUGCGUCUGGUGCCAGCACUCCACACUCACCGAGCUAGAGUGGGUAUCCAGCCAGGACAUGUUGUGGCAGCUCCACUCACUAGGCUGCCAGUACGUCUCCUCAGUCCAGGGGGGACCUGUUCCAGCUCCACGUUCAAAGCCUCCAGUGAUGAUCCACGGCACGGAGCCUCCAGUGAGGAUCCACGCCACGGAGCCUCCAGCGUUGAUCCACGGUCCGGAGCCUGCAGAGACGGUCCCCGGUCCGGAGCCUGCAGAGACGGUCCCCGGUCCGGAGCCUGCAGAGACGGUCCCCGGUCCGGAGCCUGCAGAGACGGUCCCCGGUCCGGAGCCUGCAGAGACGGUCCCCGGUCCGGAGCCUGCAGAGACGGUCCCCGGUCCGGAGCCUGCAGAGACGGUCCCCGGUCCGGAGCCUGCAGAGACGGUCCCCGGUCCGGAGCCUGCAGAGACGGUCCCCGGUCCGGAGCCUGCAGAGACGGUCCCCGGUCCGGUGCCUGCAGAGACGGUCCCCGGUCCGGUGCCUGCAGAGACGGUCCCCGGUCCGGAGCCUGCAGAGACGGUCCCCGGUCCGGAGCCUCCAACGACGGUCUCCGGUCAGGAGCCUCCAAAGACGGUCCCCGGUCAGGAGCCUCCAAAGACAGUCCCCGGUCAGGAGCCUCCAACGACGGUCCCCAGUCCGGAGCCUGCCGCGACGGUCCUCGGUCCGGAGCCUGCAGUGACGGUCCCCAGUCCGGAGCCCCCGGCGAUGAUCGGUGGUCUGGUUCCUCCGGCGAUGAUCGUUCCUCCAGUGAAGGUCCAUGCACCAGGGCCGCCAUCAAAGCGAAAGGAUCUGCGGGCAGAGGGGGGUCUACGUCCCGCACCGGAGCCGCCGCCGUGGAGAGAUGCCUACCCGGACCCUCCCCUUUAAAGUCAGGUUUUGCGGCCGGAGUCCGCACCUUUUUUUUUUGGGGGGGGGGGCUUUUAUUCUUUAUUUUGGUUAGGCCAGGGUGUGACUAG